CGGCACGUGGCGAAACCACGGUAGACGCACCUGCUUCAAAACCAGGCUCCCAAGGGGAAUGCGAGUUCGAAUCUCGCCGUGCCGACCA
RNAcentral lists this transfer RNA (88 nucleotides) under Burkholderia vietnamiensis. Its description in RNAcentral is "tRNA-Leu". It matches the Rfam family "tRNA". Rfam says of the family: Transfer RNA (tRNA) molecules are approximately 80 nucleotides in length. Their secondary structure includes four short double-helical elements and three loops (D, anti-codon, and T loops). Lineage: Bacteria; Pseudomonadati; Pseudomonadota; Betaproteobacteria; Burkholderiales; Burkholderiaceae. The record is from RNAcentral. RNAcentral also lists the same sequence under 3 other names.